GUAGGUGGCAAGCGUUGUCCGGAAUUAUUGGGCGUAAAGCGCGCGCAGGCGGUUCUUUAAGUCUGAUGUGAAAGCCCACGGGCUCAACCGUGAGGGUCAUUGGAAACUGGAGAACUUGAGUACAGAAGAGGAAAGCGGAAUUCCACGUGUAGCGGUGAAAUGCGUAGAGAUGUGGAGGAACACCAGUGGCGAAGGCGGCUUUCUGGUCUGUAACUGACGCUGAGGCGCGAAGGCGUGGGGAGCAAACAGGAUUAGAUACCCUGGUAGUCCACGCCGUAAACGAUGAGUGCUAAGUGUUAGGGGGUUUCCGCCCCCUUAGUGCUGCAGCUAACGCAUUAAGCACUCCGCCUGGGGGGGUACGGCCGCAAAGGCUG
RNAcentral lists this ribosomal RNA (374 nucleotides) under uncultured organism. RNAcentral's name for it is "partial 16S ribosomal RNA". It matches the Rfam family "Bacterial small subunit ribosomal RNA", at positions 527 to 896 of the family's 1533-position model. The record is from RNAcentral.